AGUCGAACGGCAGCACGGACUUCGGUCUGGUGGCGAGUGGCGAACGGGUGAGUAAUGUAUCGGAACGCCUAGUAGCGGGGAUAACUACGCGAGUGGUAGCUAAUACCGCAUACGCCCUUCGGGGGAAAGCGGGGGACCUUCGGGCCUCGCACUAUUAGAGCGGCCGAUAUCGGAUUACGGUUGGUGGGGUAACGGCUCACCAAGGCGACGAUCCGUAGCUACUGAGAGGACGACCCAGCCACACUGGGACUGAGACACGCCCAGACUCCUACGGGAGGCAGCAGUGGGGAAUUUUGACAAUGGGGGAAACCCUGAUCCAGCCAUCCCGGGCGUGUGCGAUGAAGGCCUUCGGGUUAAAGCACUUUUGGCAGGAAAGAAACGGCACGGGAUAAUACCCCGUGCAACUGACGGUACCUGCAGAAUAAGCACCGGCACCACGUGCCAGCAGCCGCGGUAAUACGUAGGGUGCAAGCGUUAAUCGGAAUUACUGGGCGGUAUGCGCGCAGGCGGUUCGGAAAGAAGAUGUGGAACUUAGAGUUUAACUUUUGAACGCAUUUUUAACUACCGAGCUAGAGUGUGCUUCAGAGGGAGGUGGACUCAUGUGGCAGUGAAAUGCGUAGAUAUGCGGAGGAACACCGAUGGCGAAGGCAGCCUUCGGGGAUAACACCGACGCUCAUGCACGAAAGCGUGGGGAGCAAACAGGAUUAGAUACCCUGGUAGUCCACGCCCUAAACGAUGUCAAUUCUAUGGUUGGGCCUCGGGCCUGGUAGCAGCUAACGCGUGAAGUUGACCGCCUGGGGAGUACGGUCGCAAGAUUAAAACUCAAAGGAAUUGACGGGGACCCGCACAAGCAGGGACGAUGUGGAUUAAUUCGAUGCAAAUCGUGCUGCAUGGCCGUCGCUCAGUCGUGUCGAGAUGCUGGGUUAAGUCCCGCAACGAGCGGCAACCCUUGUCAUUAGUUGCUACGAAAGGGCACUUACCUGAGACUGCCGGUGACAAACCGGAGGAAGGUGGGGAUGACGUCAAGUCCUCACGGCCCUUAUGGGUAGGGCUUCACACGUCAUACAAUGGUCGGGACAGAGGGUCGCCAACCCGCGAGGGGGAGCCAAUCCCAGAAACCCGAUCGUAGUCCGGAUCGCAGUCUGCAACUCGACUGCGUGAAGUCGGAAUCUGCUAGUAAUCGCGGAUCAGCAUGUCGCGGUGAAUACGUUCCCGGGUCUUGUACACACCGCCCGUCACACCAUGGGAGUGGGCUUUACCAGAAGUAGUUAGCCUAACCGUAAGGAGGGCGAUUACCACGGUAGGAUCUAUGACGGGGUGAAGUCGUAAACAGGCAAAC
This 1339-nucleotide ribosomal RNA is filed under the name uncultured Bordetella sp. RNAcentral describes it as "partial 16S-23S ribosomal RNA intergenic spacer". It matches the Rfam family "Bacterial small subunit ribosomal RNA". Lineage: Bacteria; Pseudomonadati; Pseudomonadota; Betaproteobacteria; Burkholderiales; Alcaligenaceae. The record is from RNAcentral.